This is a long non-coding RNA of Arabidopsis lyrata subsp. lyrata, 1163 nucleotides long. RefSeq lists it as uncharacterized. Lineage: Eukaryota; Viridiplantae; Streptophyta; Magnoliopsida; Brassicales; Brassicaceae. The transcript is spliced from 5 exons. The record is from RefSeq and is a predicted model, not a curated record.
AAAGCAAAAUAAUUUACCGAGACCACGUCAGAAAACAAAGUAUAUAAUAAUUCAGGGGUGAAAGGGAAACAAAAAAUCUCGGCAACUAAAGAAAAAUUGGAAAAGGAAAGUGCGAUUAAAAAAUAAUCUUUCGACCUGUGUUAAGUCAGGUUAAUCACUUGGUUAAAUUACUUAUGUCUUUAUCUCGGGUUACGGUACAAUCAAAAUCGAUUUCAUCGUCUUCUUUAUCUCUUUCUCUCUUCAUCGUCAUUCAUCAUCAUCAUCAUUCAUCAUCAUCAAAUCUCAGGAUCUUGGAGGUGGCUCUUCUCUUUCGUACCUACCUUCUAGACUGUGAUUUCCAAUCUUCGAACUCUCGUAGAGGAUUGAAAGAGCUGCUGAGUCCACGAGUUCUUCUCCAUCAGUAGCUUCCGGUGAUAGAACCCUAAUCCAUGAUGAUGAAUUCACUCUAACAGAGGUUAUAUUGUUGUCAACCUAUCAAAUCCCUAAUCAAGAGUUUCUUCAAAUUCAGUGUGUCAAUGUGAUCGAGCACUUAGUGAAGUAGAUGAGAUUUUUGGUUAAUCAUAUUUUCAAAGACAAAUCUUCACUUUCGAUCAAUUCAUGGAAGCAAAUUUCUCAAGAUACAUAUGAAGUAGUAUCUAGUUCGGUUCAUGGCUCAUCAAUUACUAUUUUUUCCAUCUUGUCGGAGCUCUUGAGCUCUCGGUAUUACAGAGAACGAUAUGGUGCUUUUGAGACUUCACUUUCCUAGUAUUCUGAGUUUCAAUGUCUUCGGAGGCGUCUUCAAUCAAUAGCAAAAGCACCAGAUUUCACUUGAAUAUGCAUCUUGGUUCGAAAGGCUUCAGUAAUCGCGGAAGCCAAUUGAAUUUUUUUAGAAGAUGAGGUAAUUAAAGAAGAUUGCAUUAACUUUAUCCGCGUCAAGGUCCGUACCAUAAGUCCAAGAUCCACGUAUAUAACCGCCCAAAUGCAUCCAGGAUCCGCGUGUUUAUCCGACACCAAACCCAGGAUCCGCGUUUUUUUGUUUUUUUUGUUCUAUUCAAAUUGUCAAUUUUAUCCUUUCACGAUCUUUUUCAUUGAUUCUUUGAAUGCAAAAUUCCUAAUGGCAUUCUCUUGUAAUUUUUUACACUUUAUAAGGUUUAUUAUUAGGGAAUGCUUCCCAAUUAAUAGUA